CUCUGCCCCUCUCCCCUGCUCAUGCUUGCUCUCUAAAAUUAAAAAAAAUAAUAAUAAAAAAGAAGGUUUAGGAUGUCCCAAUGAUUCUCUCACCCCCCAUACCUCUUACUGUUGUAGUUUUAUGUAGACCAAUUUCAUAGACACAUAUAUUUGCUGGGAAGCUUAAAGUUGAAAAGUUACUCUAGCCAUGCCAUCAAGGAACAUAGUAAUGGUGCAAAGGACUGGUGUGUCUUUUGUUGUAGCUUGAUGCUGGCUUACAAACUAGUUCUAAAGAAUUUACCUGAUUUUUCUUCUCUCCCUCUUCCUCCUUUGGGUAACAGGAAAUUUUUUCUUCAGAUUUCAGAAUCAGCUCAGCUAUGUGCUUGGAACAGAUUAAUUACCCUGAAUUCUCACAAAUAAAGGCAUGAAGAUUAAAGAGAUUACAGGAUUCUAAUGAUAACCCCUGUUCAGAGGCCACAGAAGAUGGCAGAGGGCAGGUCCUGGUGCUCCAUGGCCCAGGCAUCUCCCAGGGCACCUGGCAGCCAUUGUGGCCAAACAGGUACCACUGGGCCAGGAGGUAAUGGUCACUUGCUGUGAGAGCAUCAACGUAUCUGGCAAUUUCCACAGAAACAAGUUAAAGUACCUGGUCUCUUUCUGCAAGAGAAUGAUCGCCAGCCCAUCCUUUGGCCGCUACCCAUUCUUUGCCUCCAGUUAUUCUUUAUGAAGGUGCGAGGCAGGCUGUCUCCAAUACCAAGGGAGGCCAGGCUGCCCUAAGCACCUCAAGGUGUUCAAUGGGCCCCACUGCCCUACAACAAGAAGAAGCAGAGGGUCAGUUCCUGCUUCCCUCAAGGUUGUACAUAGGUAGCCUACAGGAAAGUUUGCCUGAACCGGGCACCUGGCUCUCAAGGCUGGCUGGAAGAACCAGGCGAUGACAGCCACCCCGAAGAAGAGGAAGAAGGCCACAGUCCAUUAUCUGAAGGAAGAGCAGCUCACAAGACUAAUGAAACAGGCCUGAAAGAAGGUUGAGAAGAAAACUGACAAAUAGAGGUCCUCAAGACUCUCAGACUCUGGUCUGAGUCUAAUAAAGACUGUUCAUUAAGACUGUUCAUUAAAAAAAAAAAUCCAUAAUUUACACAUAUUAUUUUUAUGAUUAGAUGAUGAAAUGCUAUUUUGUACAUUAAUAAAUUUAACUUGGGGCAUUUGGUAGAGCAUGCAACUCUUGAUCUUGGGGUUCUAAGUUUGAGCCCCAUGUUGAAUGUAGAGAUUACUUUAAAAAAAAUCUUUAAAAAAAUUUAAUUUUUAAGACUACGACUGUAACAUGCAGGGUCCUCUGAAAAGCAGGGUUCAGAAUGGGGACUCCUCUUACUACAAUUAAAGAGUAUCCUGACUUGGAGACAUUUCCUAGGGAAGUGACAACAUGAAGGCUUAGGGCUGGGAAUAGGCAGAAUUUUCCUUUUAGCUUCGUUUUAAUGUAUGCCUUUCUUUUGUGUGUCCAUGACAAAUCAGACACCUCCAUUCCCCAGCAAAUUUCUUUUUUAAAAAAAUAUUUAUUUAUUAAUUUAUUUAGAGAGAGCAUGGGAGCAGGGGAGGGGCAG
Molecule: long non-coding RNA, 1574 nt
Organism: Lynx canadensis (Canada lynx)
Lineage: Eukaryota; Metazoa; Chordata; Mammalia; Carnivora; Felidae
Exons: 3
Source: RefSeq, a predicted model, not a curated record